GUUCUGGGCUUCUGGCUGCAUUCUAGGAAGAUCAUUCCUUAAAAGAAAUAGCCAUAUGGCUUAUAAGACAUGGAAUAAACUUGACAAGUGCUAAAGAUGCUCUUUGAUUUUUGUGUGGCAUGAGACCUCAGGCUGAAACUUCUCAUCUGAGCCAUUGAAGGGAGCCUCUCAUCUCUCCACCGAGAGGGGAGACCAGAAUGGCUCCUUCAGGCACAUUCUGUUGGGCUUCCCUCUACCUCCCCACUCUGCUGCUUCCCCGCUCUUUUUGAAUUUCUCCCUGUUGAGGAGAGGGAAGACCAGCUAGGAGCUCUGUUUCUGGCAGGAAUCUGACACCACUUACUCCUUGGGUAGAAACUCCCCCAAGUCUGAACUAUGUGAUUGCCUGAGCCCUGCUUCUUGUUCAUUAAGACUGCUCCUCUGAAACGGAAUUGAUGAAUUUUUAGUGGCUAUUAGAAGCAUUUGGGAUCCAUAGGCAUCAGGGUUUGAUGCAUGGCCCUCAUCUCUGUGGGCUCC
Long non-coding RNA from Homo sapiens (human), 513 nucleotides. Ensembl annotates it as DARS1 antisense RNA 1. Its record names the gene DARS1-AS1. The record is from Ensembl. Lineage: Eukaryota; Metazoa; Chordata; Mammalia; Primates; Hominidae.